RNAcentral lists this ribosomal RNA (715 nucleotides) under uncultured Bacteroidales bacterium. Its description in RNAcentral is "bacterial SSU rRNA". It matches the Rfam family "Bacterial small subunit ribosomal RNA", at positions 55 to 758 of the family's 1533-position model. The record is from RNAcentral. Lineage: Bacteria; Pseudomonadati; Bacteroidota; Bacteroidia; Bacteroidales.
AUGCAAGUCGAGGGGCAGCAUUUUAGUUUGCUUGCAAACUAAAGAUGGCGACCGGCGCACGGGUGAGUAACACGUAUCCAACCUGCCGAUAACUCGGGGAUAGCCUUUCGAAAGAAAGAUUAAUAUCCGAUAGCAUAUUGAGAUCGCAUGAUUUUGAUAUUAAAGAAUUUCGGUUAUCGAUGGGGAUGCGUUCCAUUAGUUUGUUGGCGGGGUAACGGCCCACCAAGACUACGAUGGAUAGGGGUUCUGAGAGGAAGGUCCCCCACAUUGGAACUGAGACACGGUCCAAACUCCUACGGGAGGCAGCAGUGAGGAAUAUUGGUCAAUGGACGAGAGUCUGAACCAGCCAAGUAGCGUGAAGGAUGACUGCCCUAUGGGUUGUAAACUUCUUUUAUAUGGGAAUAAAGUUUUCCACGUGUGGAAUUUUGUAUGUACCAUAUGAAUAAGGAUCGGCUAACUCCGUGCCAGCAGCCGCGGUAAUACGGAGGAUCCGAGCGUUAUCCGGAUUUAUUGGGUUUAAAGGGAGCGUAGGUGGAUUGUUAAGUCAGUUGUGAAAGUUUGCGGCUCAACCGUAAAAUUGCAGUUGAAACUGGCAGUCUUGAGUACAGUAGAGGUGGGCGGAAUUCGUGGUGUAGCGGUGAAAUGCUUAGAUAUCACGAAGAACUCCGAUUGCGAAGGCAGCUCACUAGACUGCAACUGACACUGAUGCUCGAAA